RNAcentral lists this ribosomal RNA (332 nucleotides) under uncultured bacterium. RNAcentral describes it as "bacterial SSU rRNA". It matches the Rfam family "Bacterial small subunit ribosomal RNA", at positions 8 to 334 of the family's 1533-position model. The record is from RNAcentral.
AGAGUUCGAUUAUGGCUCAGGAUGAACGCUAGCUACAGGCUUAACACAUGCAAGUCGAGGGGCAGCAUUUUUCUAGCAAUAGAAGAGAUGGCGACCGGCGCACGGGUGAGUAACACGUAUCCAACCUACCGAUAACUCCGGAAUAGCCUUUCGAAAGAAAGAUUAAUACCGGAUAGUAUACGAAUAUCGCAUGAUAUUUUUAUUAAAGAAUUUCGGCUAUCGAUGGGGAUGCGUUCCAUUAGUUUGUUGGCGGGGUAACGGCCCACCAAGACUACGAUGGAUAGGGGUUCUGAGAGGAAGGUCCCCCACAUUGGAACUGAGACACGGUCCAA